CCAUGCCGCGUGAGCGAUGAAGGCCUUCGGGUUGUAAAGCUCUUUUGGCAGGGAAGAAACGGACCGUUCUAGUACUAUGCGUCACUGACGGUACCUGCAGAAUAAGCACCGGCUAACUACGUGCCAGCAGCCGCGGUAAUACGUAGGGUGCAAGCGUUAAUCGGAAUUACUGGGCGUAAAGCGUGCGCAGGCGGUUUGGAAAGUCAGAUGUGAAAUCCCAGAGCUCAACUUUGGAACUGCAUUUUAUACUGGCAAGCUAGAGUAUGUCAGAGGGGGGUGGAAUUCCACGUGUAGCAGUGAAAUGCGUAGAGAUGAGGAGGAACACCGAUGGCGAAGGCAACCCCCUGG
Molecule: ribosomal RNA, 348 nt
Filed under: uncultured bacterium
Lineage: Bacteria
Description: bacterial SSU rRNA
Rfam family: Bacterial small subunit ribosomal RNA
Source: RNAcentral